GGCGGGGACCGGCGGGUAGGGCGUGGUCAGCGGGGACCCGCUCCGCAGGCGACGGCCGGCUUGCAGGAACCGGUCCCGAAACUAGGGGGCGCUCGCCUUGGGCCGGGCGCUGGACCCGGUGAGGUUCCUCAGGGGAGUGCGUCAGAUUCUUGCAGCCUCCCCGUCCUGGAAACUAGGCAGGUGUGCUGGGCGCCGUGGGCAGACAGGUGCAGCUCCACCCUCCAUCUGUGAGCCCAGACUGGAACCUCCAAGCCGAGUGGGGGGCAACAAGGAAAACUACGUAGUGUCCUUGGGGACAGUGGUGUGGAUGGGUCUCCACAGGGGCAGGGCCAAGGUGGAUUCACUGGCACCGCGGGACAGCAAGGUGUGAUCGGUUGGAUAAGCAAGGAAACCCCCACAUCUGAGCACCUACACUUGGAAGAGGACACUGUUCAGAGUGACCUUUGGCACCGAGUGCAGGACAGUCCAGAAGUGGGUUGGGUGAGGUGUUGCCAGGUGGAGGACUAUUGAAUGUGCUGUGCAUUUGCCUAUGUUGGAAAUCCUGUGGAUUUGGAGAAGAUGGUGGCAGAAGCAAGAAUUUUGAAUCCCCUCGAGUCCUCCCAUAAAACUCAGAGCAGCAAGCAGAAAAACGAAGCUCAAGGGCAUCCUCACGAGCAGGUGGAGGCCAAGUCCCAGCCUCACCGCACAGUUAGCACAUGUGUGCAAGGCCCUCAUCACCCUGUCACAGUUUUUUUUUUUUUUGGUACCAGGGAUCAAGCUCAGGUCCUUUGGCUUGCAAGGCAGGCGGCAGAACCGCUAAGCUAAAUCCCCAGCCCCUGUUACAGUUUUGAUCUGAAAUGUCCCCCAAAUUUGGGAAUUUGUACCCGUAAGAAAUAAAAAAGAAAAUGUCCCCC
RNAcentral lists this long non-coding RNA (893 nucleotides) under Heterocephalus glaber (naked mole-rat). Its description in RNAcentral is "lncRNA (ENSHGLG00100028461.2)". Lineage: Eukaryota; Metazoa; Chordata; Mammalia; Rodentia; Bathyergidae. The record is from RNAcentral.